AUAUGGAGAGGGCAAGUCUGGUGUCAGCCGCCGCGGUAAUACCAGCUCUCCGAGUGGUGUGGAUGUUUAUUGGGCCUAAAGCAUCCGUAGCNGGNUAAGUUAGUCCCCUGUUAAAUCCACCGAAUUAAUCGUUGGAUUGCGGGGGAUACUGCUUGGCUAGGGGACGAGAGAGGCAGACGGUAUUUCCGGGGUAGGGGUGAAAUCCUAUAAUCCCGGGAAGACCACCAGUGGCGAAGGCUGUCUGCUAGAACGCGCCCGACGGUGAGGGAUGAAAGCUGGGGGAGCGAACCGGAUUAGAUACCCGGGUAGUCCCAGCUGUAAACGAUGCAGACUAGGUGUUUGAACGGCAACGUGCCGUUCUAGUGCCGCAGGGAAGCUGUUAAGUCUGCCGCCUGGGGAGUACGAUCGUAAGAUUGAAACUUAAAGGAAUUGGCGGGGGAGCACCACAAGGGGUGAAGCUUGCGGUUUAAUUGGAUUCAAC
RNAcentral lists this ribosomal RNA (481 nucleotides) under uncultured archaeon. Its description in RNAcentral is "bacterial SSU rRNA". It matches the Rfam family "Archaeal small subunit ribosomal RNA", at positions 435 to 916 of the family's 1478-position model. The record is from RNAcentral.